GCCGCCGCCCCAUCUUCCGGCGGCGUCGCACGCCGCCCGGGUCCGUCUCCCGCAAUCCCCAGACAUCCGCAUCUUCCCGCGCUGUCGGCUCUGUCAGCGCCGCUGUCCUGCGUCGUAGUCGCGGUGCCCGGGGAGUGUCUCGUGACUGCUGUUCCAUGGAUGUGAGACGCGACCUCAGGGAGAACCUGAUCAAGAGGUCCCAGGUGGGUCUGCAUGUGCAGAGGCUCCAUGGGAGGUGUCAUCUUACCAGCCCGCGGUAGGCUGUGGGGCCCGAGCAGGCUGACUGGCUGCCUUCCGUGCUGUGCACCCGCCGAUGUGUUCCGGAAGCAGAAACCCCGCAGCGGUACCUUCACUCUGUGGACUCAGAGACAGCCUGGUGCUCCUGAGAGAGACAGCCUGGUGCCCCCGAGAGGAAUGUCUUGGCUCCCAGGUCAGCCUUAGAUCUGGAGCUGUUGAAGUAAGUCCCAAGGCCAUGAGUUCAGGGACCCUCGGGAUGACUUGGCAUCUGGGUUUGCUGAUAUGUCUCCCCAAGAUUCUCUUGGUGUUAGGGGACAGCAGAAGAACAGAGGAUGGCGAGGGAGUCCCUGCAGAACGCAUCCCCAGAGCACUCCUGCUGUGACUCAGAGCAUCAUGAAUCAACUCUUCACUCCACAUAGGAGAUCAGAGGGAAAGUGCUGGGGCCAGGGCUCGGGCUGGGGUCCACGUCAGCUGGCUGAGGCUUGACAACAGUGCCCUGAGAAGCCAUGGACAGAGAAGGCCAGCCCCAUGUUCCUCUGCUAUGCCUGGAAUGACCUUAAUGACCAAGACUUUUUCUCUUGUGUUGCAGCUGCUCAUCACUUUACUCUCUGCCCACCAUUCAGUAAACCUUACAGACUCGCUGUGCCUGCCUUUUAAGUCCAUAACAAGCCUUGUGCCACCGAGGCUGGGUGUGGAGAAGUGGAUCACAGGCCAGUCUUGUUUUCACCCCCUGAGCCUCUCCUGUCAUGCUCCUGGGGCUUGGCACACAGGCCGCAGUCUGAGGUGUUGCAUUAGGACUGGGACAGUAGCUGGCUCAGAUUCAGGGCCCAUGAAAGAAUCGAAGGUUCGAGGAACAGUCAGGCCAGGGCUUUGGAAGGGUGGCUGGUGACAGCGGGCUGGAGUGAGGCAGGCACCGAUGUCACUGAGGAAGCUGGGUUGGCCCGAGUUUUGGGGCCUGGCUCCUGAGUAAAUGCCUGCUUUUGUGGCCAGCCGACCUAGUUUGCCUGGGAUUGAGGGGUUUCCCAGGACAUGGGACUUUCAUUGUUAAAUCCAGAAAGGUCCUGGGCAAACUGGAACUAGUUGGUCAACUUACCUCGGGAGUCAAAUACAUGAUGUCAGCCUGAGGACAGGCUACUGAGUAAAGGUGGGAGGCAGCAGGGUGAAGGUGGAGCAGCUGCUGUUGAUGGACCUUGUGGCUAUCCUCAAGGUCAGGCUUUUGGAGAUAAUUGUGGUAAGUCAAUAAUUGCAAUAAUGUGAUGAUGGUCUAAGGGUGUGCAUGUGUGAACUUUUUAAUUCCCAUGUUAUAGAUGGAUGGGUCUUCAUAGAGGAAAUAGGUCCCAAAGGCUGUGAUGAAAGGCUGGAGUUAAUUGUCCAAUUUCUGCACUUGAACUUGCCUUGAUGAGUUUGACACCUUGAUGGGCUCCUUUUCGGGGGCAGGCAGGUGUUCUUCAUGGCUGAAGUGUUCACUCUGCCAGCCAGUUCCUGACACAGGCAUCCAGAAGUCUUUAUUUUUAUUUUUUUUAUUUUUUGGCCUUCCCUGUGGCCUGUCUUGACUUUUUUUUAGCAGCCUUUAGUCAGCUGGUUGUGGCUGCAUGAAAAAACGCCAAGGGAAGGAUCUGGGUCCACUUGAGAAAGCUGUGCCUGGUUGGGAAUGUGUGCUGCCAUGGAGGAAGAGCAGAACGUGGGCCAGUACUUAAAAAGUGUGCAUGGAGACACUUGGCGUGUCCCACGGGGCACCAGGUCAUGCCCGCCUCGCAUGCGGCAUGGGAAGCAUGAGCCAUGUCAAGUGUUGAGGGCCUGAGGAAAUCUGAGAAGAGCAUUCCAGCCAGCGUGACCUAGGAACCAGGCUUAAGGUCAUGGAGCUAUGAUCCUUGCUGGGAGAUGUGCAAGCUUCCUGGAGGGCCUGGUGGAGCAGGGAGUGGGAGAUUUCCAUAGCAGAAUUGAGAGCUAGAAGUAAUGGAGAGCUGGUCAGAGUGAAGGUCCGUCCAUUAAAAAGAAAAGCAUUUAUUCAUGAGCCAGGCACCAUGCUUAGAAGUAGGGGUACAAUGGGAAAUAGCAUGGUUUGUGCACUUCAGGUAUUCCUGAAAUGACUAUAGAUAAUAAUGUGUUUAUAUGCUGAAUGUCUGUGGAACAUGCAUUUGUAUUGGGCACUGCUGUAGGUGUUGGGGGUACCACUCCAAACAAAACACAGGAGGCCUCAGCUUAUUUAGAACUGCAGUCCAUUAUGGUAAUGUAAAGUGUAAAGUUCCCAUCUUCACUUGCACAAGCCGUAGUUCAAGUGCUUGGUAGCCCCAAGUGGCUGCCGUGUUGGGUAGUGCAGGUAUCAAAGACUGUUUCUAUCACCACAAGAAGUGUGGUGUUGAAAAGAAAACCCAUGGGCCCCAAAGUGGCAUCACUGAGGCCAAGUCCCCAAACCCGGACAUAAUACCUAAUCUAAUUGCAGUUUCAACCUCCCCCGGAAAUGUAGUCUUACCUGGUCAGUCACAAGUUCUCUGAUGGGUGCCAAGGAGUCCUACCACAGGGGCCCUCUCCAUCCCCAAAGGAGGAUGGGAGUAAUCUACCUGAUUAGAACCCCCUCCUGUUCCCCCUAAGGGAAAGCCUUGCCUGGAACAAUUUUUUUGCAAAUAACUUUCUUGCCCCACCUUCCUUCCCUAGAAACCUUUCUGUUCAAUCUCUUGGAGCUCCCCUCUGCUUGUUAGAUGGGAUGCUGCCUGAUUCAUGAAUUGUUUAAUAAAGCCAACUAGAUCCUCAGAUGUACCUGGCUGAAUUUUGUUUGACGUCAGACAGCACUGGUCUAGAAGGUUAGGAGUUCAAGUUUAAAAACAUGAUUGAAGAGUGUUGCUGGACACCUUUACGGAAAAGCCGUUACUUGAGUCCAAAGAGGAUUGGUGCCAUGUCCCUGCUGAUCAGGGUGGUUCUGAGUGUUGGUGGAUAAACCUGGGGCAGCAGCCUGCAGGGGUGUGGAUCACUGGCUUUGGAGUCCCACAGACCUGGGGUUUAACCCUCUUGGGUGACAUAAGGCAAGUUUGUACUACCUGACCUUGGUUUCCUCUUACAAAACGAGAACCACAGCUUUACAGGAUAUGGUAAGGUAGGGAUUAAACAGACUGUUGUAUGAAAAAGUCUGUGUAGGGCGCCUGGGUGGCUCAGGUGGUUAAGCGUCUGCCUUCGGCUCAGGU
This is a long non-coding RNA of Neomonachus schauinslandi (Hawaiian monk seal), 3416 nucleotides long. RefSeq lists it as uncharacterized. NCBI's taxonomy places the organism in Eukaryota, Metazoa, Chordata, Mammalia, Carnivora, Phocidae. The record is from RefSeq and is a predicted model, not a curated record. The transcript is spliced from 6 exons.